GAUGAACGCUAGCGGCAGGCCUAACACAUGCAAGUCGAGGGGCAGCACGUCUUCGGAUGGUGGCGACCGGCGCACGGGUGCGUAACGCGUAUGCAACCUACCUCUUACAGUGGGAUAGCCCAGAGAAAUUUGGAUUAAUACCGCAUAGUAUGCGACAUCAGCAUUGAUGACGUAUUAAACAUUUAUGGGUAAGAGAUGGGCCUAUGGCCUAUCAGCUAGUUGGUGCGGUAAAAGCGCACCAAGGCUAUGACGGUAGCAGGCGUGAGAGCGCGACCAGCCACACUGGAACUGAGACACGGUCCAGACUCCUACGGGAGGCAGCAGUAGAGAAUAUUGGACAAUGGGCGAAAGCCUGAUCCAGCCAUGCCGCGUGAUAGAUGAAGGCCCUCUGGGUUGUAAAUAUCGUUUUUAUAAGGGAAGAAUUUGUGACGGUACCUUAUGAAUAAGAGGUUGCUAACUCUGUGCCAGCAG
Molecule: ribosomal RNA, 471 nt
Filed under: uncultured bacterium
Lineage: Bacteria
Description: bacterial SSU rRNA
Rfam family: Bacterial small subunit ribosomal RNA
Source: RNAcentral